This 498-nucleotide ribosomal RNA is filed under the name uncultured bacterium. RNAcentral's name for it is "partial 16S ribosomal RNA". It matches the Rfam family "Bacterial small subunit ribosomal RNA", at positions 28 to 507 of the family's 1533-position model. The record is from RNAcentral.
GACGAACGCUGGCGGCGUGCCUAAUACAUGCCAGUCGAGCGGACGAAUCGAAAGCUUGCUUUUGAUUCGUUAGCGGCGGACGGGUGAGUAACACGUGGGCAACCUGCCCUGUAGACGGGGAUAACACCGAGAAAUCGGUGCUAAUACCGGAUAACACGAAAUGUCGCAUGACGUUUCGUUGAAAGACGGCGCAAGCUGUCGCUACAGGAUGGGCCCGCGGCGCAUUAGCUAGUUGGUGAGGUAACGGCUCACCAAGGCGACGAUGCGUAGCCGACCUGAGAGGGUGAUCGGCCACACUGGGACUGAGACACGGCCCAGACUCCUACGGGAGGCAUCAGUAGGGAAUCUUCCGCAAUGGACGAAAGUCUGACGGAGCAACGCCGCGUGAGCGAAGAAGGCCUUCGGGUCGUAAAGCUCUGUUGUUAGGGAAGAACAAGUAACGCAGUAACUGGCGUUACCGUGACGGUACCUAACGAGAAAGCCACGGCUAACUACGUG